This 915-nucleotide ribosomal RNA is filed under the name Golubevia pallescens. RNAcentral's name for it is "LSU rRNA". It matches the Rfam family "Eukaryotic large subunit ribosomal RNA", at positions 29 to 936 of the family's 3401-position model. The record is from RNAcentral. Lineage: Eukaryota; Fungi; Basidiomycota; Exobasidiomycetes; Golubeviales; Golubeviaceae.
UGRAACUUAAGCAUAUCAAUAAGCGGAGRAAAGAAACUAACMAGGAUUCCCCUAGUAACGGCGAGUGAAGCGGGAAGAGCUCAAAUUUGAAAGCUGGCGUCUUCGACGUCCGCAUUGUAAUCUCGAGAAGUGUUUUCCGUGUUGGACCAUGUACAAGUUCCCUGGAACAGGACGUCAUAGAGGGUGAGAAUCCCGUACUUGACAUGGAUGCCCAAUGCUUUGUGAUACGCUCUCCACGAGUCGAGUUGUUUGGGAAUGCASCUCAAAAUGGGGUGGUAAAUUCCAUCUAAAGCUAAAUAUUGGGGAGAGACCGAUAGCGAACAAGUACCGUGAGGGAAAGAUGAAAAGCACUUUGGAAAGAGAGUUAAACAGUACGUGAAAUUGUCGAAAGGGAAGCGCUUGAAGUCAGACAUGCUGCUGAGACUCAGCCUUGGUUUUCCUUGGUGUAUUUCUCAGUUGGCAGGCCAGCAUCAGUUUUGGCUGUUGGAUAAGGGUAGGAGGAAUGUGGCAUCCUCGGAUGUGUUAUAGCCUCUUACUGGAUACAACGGCUGGGACUGAGGAACGCAGUGUGCCUUCGGGCGGGUCUUCGGACACCUUCWCACUUAGGAUGCUGGCGUAAUGGCUUUAAGCGACCCGUCUUGAAACACGGACCAAGGAGUCUAACAUGUUUGCGAGUCUUUGGGUGGUAAACCCGCAGGCGCAAUGAAAGUGAAUGCAGGUGGGAUCCGUAAGGAGCACCAUCGACCGAACCUGAUCUCUUGUGACGGUUUUGAGUAAGAGCACAUAUGUUGGGACCCGAAAGAUGGUGAACUAUGCCUGAGUAGGGCGAAGCCAGAGGAAACUCUGGUGGAGGCUCUAGCGGUUCUGACGUGCAAAUCGAUCGUCAAACUUGGGUAUAGGGGCGAAAGACUAAUC